RNAcentral lists this ribosomal RNA (568 nucleotides) under Fermentozyma sake. RNAcentral's name for it is "eukaryotic LSU rRNA". It matches the Rfam family "Eukaryotic large subunit ribosomal RNA", at positions 73 to 668 of the family's 3401-position model. Lineage: Eukaryota; Fungi; Ascomycota; Pichiomycetes; Serinales; Debaryomycetaceae. The record is from RNAcentral.
AUGCUCAGUACGGCGAGUGAAGCGGCAAAAGCUCAAAUUUGAAAUCUGCGUAAGCCGAGUUGUAAUUUGAAGAUGGCUACUUUGGUAAUGGCUCUUGUCUAUGUUCCUUGGAACAGGACGUCACAGAGGGUGAGAAUCCCGUGCGAUGAGAUGUCCAUUACCGUGUAAAGUGCUUUCGAAGAGUCGAGUUGUUUGGGAAUGCAGCUCUAAGUGGGUGGUAAAUUCCAUCUAAAGCUAAAUAUUGGCGAGAGACCGAUAGCGAACAAGUACAGUGAUGGAAAGAUGAAAAGAACUUUGAAAAGAGAGUGAAAAAGUACGUGAAAUUGUUGAAAGGGAAGGGCUUGAGAUCAGACUUGGUAUUUUGUAUGGCUUGCUUUCGGGCGGGUCCUCUGCAGUUUACUGGGCCAGCAUCGGUUUGGGUGGCAGGAUAAUAGCAUAGGAAUGUGGCUCUACUUCGGUGGAGUGUUAUAGCCUUUGUUGAUACUGCCUGCCUAGACCGAGGACUGCGUCUUUUGACUAGGAUGCUGGCAUAAUGAUCCUAAGCCGCCCGUCUUGAAACCACGGACCA